UAUUAGGUUUGUGCUAGAUUAUUAGGGUUAGUAAUAUGUAGAAUUAGGAAAAAGGAAAAUAAGAAGAGGAGGAGAAGAAAAGAAGAAAAAGAAGAAUAAGAAGACGAGGAGAGGAGAAGAAGAGGAAAAAUAGAAGAAGAGGAGAAGUAGAAGAAGAGAAAAAAUUAGAAGAGGAGGAGAAAGGAAGAAAAAGGAGAAGAAAAGAAGAAAAAGG
This 214-nucleotide long non-coding RNA is filed under the name Hordeum vulgare. RNAcentral's name for it is "long non-coding RNA (HVUL_LNC016893)". Lineage: Eukaryota; Viridiplantae; Streptophyta; Magnoliopsida; Poales; Poaceae. The record is from RNAcentral.